UACAGAGGGUGCGAGCGUUAAUCGGAAUUACUGGGCGUAAAGCGUGCGUAGACGGUAGCGUAAGUCAGAUGUGAAAGCCCCGGGCUCAACCUGGGAAUUGCAUUUGAGACUGCUCUGCUCGGGUGCGGAAGAGGGAAGCGGAAUUUCCGGUGUAGCGGUGAAAUGCGUAGAUAUCGGAAGGAACACCAGUGGCGAAAGUGGCUUCCUGGUCCGACACCGACGUUCAGGCACGAAAGCGUGGGGAGCAAACAGG
This 253-nucleotide ribosomal RNA is filed under the name uncultured bacterium. RNAcentral describes it as "partial 16S ribosomal RNA". It matches the Rfam family "Bacterial small subunit ribosomal RNA", at positions 524 to 776 of the family's 1533-position model. The record is from RNAcentral.